This 214-nucleotide long non-coding RNA is filed under the name Prunus persica (peach). RNAcentral describes it as "long non-coding RNA (PPER_LNC001072)". Lineage: Eukaryota; Viridiplantae; Streptophyta; Magnoliopsida; Rosales; Rosaceae. The record is from RNAcentral.
GGGAUUCCAAAGACAGGUAAAAUACCUGUAAUUACAUCAGGUGAUGCAUGUGCCUCCUACUGGGACAUAUUGUACACUCUGCAUGUGGCCCUGGAACGUCCACCACGUCCCCUUUGCUGACUGCUGUCUCGGCUGGCUACACUGGUCUGGGCCCCACCACUGGACGAAGCCGCCACAAACUGUGGCAUCCUCUGUGAUCUACCCUGGAUACCUG